UACGUAGGUGGCAAGCGUUAUCCGGAAUUAUUGGGCGUAAAGAGCGCGCAGGUGGUUGAUUAAGUCUGAUGUGAAAGCCCACGGCUUAACCGUGGAGGGUCAUUGGAAACUGGUCGACUUGAGUGCAGAAGAGGGAAGUGGAAUUCCAUGUGUAGCGGUGAAAUGCGUAGAGAUAUGGAGGAACACCAGUGGCGAAGGCGGCUUCCUGGUCUGUAACUGACGCUGAGGUACGAAAGCGUGGGUAGCAAACAGGAUUAGAUACCCU
Molecule: ribosomal RNA, 265 nt
Filed under: uncultured prokaryote
Description: partial 16S ribosomal RNA
Rfam family: Bacterial small subunit ribosomal RNA
Source: RNAcentral